UCGAAUGACGCCACCCGAGCUGUGCGUUCCUCGCACGCAAGGGUGUGUUCAUCAUCCUCACACCUGUGCACCUUCGGGCCUCUCUGAGGUCCGCCUUUUUUUCACACCAACUCGUCCGCGAAUGUUCAGUCUGUAUAUUUGUAAUAUACGUCA
RNAcentral lists this unclassified non-coding RNA (153 nucleotides) under uncultured Auriculariales. RNAcentral describes it as "sequence contains ITS1". Lineage: Eukaryota; Fungi; Basidiomycota; Agaricomycetes; Auriculariales. The record is from RNAcentral.